This 361-nucleotide ribosomal RNA is filed under the name Theba pisana. RNAcentral describes it as "partial large subunit ribosomal RNA". It matches the Rfam family "Bacterial large subunit ribosomal RNA", at positions 1947 to 2619 of the family's 2925-position model. Lineage: Eukaryota; Metazoa; Mollusca; Gastropoda; Stylommatophora; Helicidae. The record is from RNAcentral.
UGUGCAAAGGUAGCAUAAUCAGUUGGCUUUUAAUUGGAGUCUGGCAUGAACGGAUUUCUGGAAAGUAACUGUAUCUUAUUUAUUUCCGCGAAAUUAAUUUGUAAGUGAAAAUACUUACAUCUUUAGAGAGGACGAGAAGACCCUAGAAAUUUCUUUUAUUUUGUUGGGGCGACAGAAUUACAAUUAAACUAAUUUGAAUUAACGUGGCGUUAUUACAGUUCGAUUAAAUUACUCUAGGGAUAACAGCAUAAUUUAACUAGUUUGUGACCUCGAUGUUGGACUAGGACAUUAAUGGUUUAGAAGACCUUUAAUAGUGCUCUGUUCGAGCAAAUAUUUCCUACAUGAUCUGAGUUCAAAUCGA